RNAcentral lists this ribosomal RNA (496 nucleotides) under uncultured bacterium. Its description in RNAcentral is "partial 16S ribosomal RNA". It matches the Rfam family "Bacterial small subunit ribosomal RNA", at positions 28 to 507 of the family's 1533-position model. The record is from RNAcentral.
GAUGAACGCUGGCGGCGUGCCUAUACAUGCAAGUCGAGCGAACAGACGAGGAGCUUGCUCCUUCGACGUUAGCGGCGGACGGGUGAGUAACACGUAGGUAACCUACCUAUAAGACUGGGAUAACUUCGGGAAACCGGAGCUAAUACCGGAUAAUAUUUCGAACCGCAUGGUUCGAUAGUGAAAGAUGGCUUUGCUAUCACUUAUAGAUGGACCUGCGCCGUAUUAGCUAGUUGGUAAGGUAACGGCUUACCAAGGCAACGAUACGUAGCCGACCUGAGAGGGUGAUCGGCCACACUGGAACUGAGACACGGUCCAGACUCCUACGGGAGGCAGCAGUAGGGAAUCUUCCGCAAUGGGCGAAAGCCUGACGGAGCAACGCCGCGUGAGUGAUGAAGGUCUUCGGAUCGUAAAACUCUGUUAUUAGGGAAGAACAAACGUGUAAGUAACUGUGCACGUCUUGACGGUACCUAAUCAGAAAGCCACGGCUAACUACGUG